AGUGAUAAAAUCAAGAUAGUGCCAUGAUUAUUCUCAAUGGCUUGGAGGGUCGCUUGGAACUAUAACUAGGAUUAUAUCCCGUAUUGAUAAAGAAAAAACUAUAUGUCGUUGAUACGACCAUUCUGAUGAUAUUUAUGCAUAUGUCGUUCAUGCUAUGAGAAAAAAUAUGUUGUUCAACCUAUGAGAAAAAUAUAUGAUAUUUAUGCACACGUCUUUGUGUUACAUGUACUUCUCCAUUAGCUACGGUUUGCUUCUGUCAUGAUGGAGUUUCCACCUAUGAGAAAAAAAAUAUGGCUUUCAUUUAGCAUAUUUUCAUUUUCCUUAAAUG
This 328-nucleotide long non-coding RNA is filed under the name Olea europaea (common olive). RNAcentral describes it as "long non-coding RNA (OEUR_LNC005663)". The record is from RNAcentral. Lineage: Eukaryota; Viridiplantae; Streptophyta; Magnoliopsida; Lamiales; Oleaceae.